Molecule: ribosomal RNA, 320 nt
Filed under: uncultured eukaryote
Lineage: Eukaryota
Description: partial 18S ribosomal RNA
Rfam family: Eukaryotic small subunit ribosomal RNA
Source: RNAcentral
CCCCUAGAUGUUCUGGGCCGCACGCGCGCUACACUGAACAGUUCAACAAGUCUUAACCUUGGCCGAUAGGUCUGGGUAAUCUUUGAACGCUGUUCGUGAUUGGGAUAGACCUUUGCAAUUAUGGGUCUUCAACGAGGAAUUCCUAGUAAACGCAAGUCAUCAGCUUGCAUUGAUUACGUCCCUGCCCUUUGUACACACCGCCCGUCGCACCUACCGGUUGAAUGGUCCGGUGAAAUCUCGGGACGGCGGCUCGGUCGCUUGCGUCCGACUGCUGAAACUUGAUUAAACCAUAUCAUUUAGAGGAAGGUGAAGUCGUAACA